Molecule: long non-coding RNA, 1152 nt
Organism: Bos taurus (domestic cattle)
Lineage: Eukaryota; Metazoa; Chordata; Mammalia; Artiodactyla; Bovidae
Source: Ensembl
AUUUUAGUCUGCUAAAUCCCAGUUGGCCAAAUCCUUUGCUAGAAUUCUAUUUUAACAGGCUCUGAAAUUUCCCAGGUACUUCUCUGAAGGCACCCUCCUCUGAGGGGGUGGGUGGUAAGUGGGUGUCAUCUGCAGACAGGAAGACCACAGCCCUGCCACAGACCAGAGGACACCCAGGGGCUCCAGGGACCAGAUGCGGGGUAGGGGCCUGUGCUGGAUCCUGACCCAGAAGAAGGACGUUCACAGAAAAACCGGGGAUCUUCCCAGCCCAGGGAUGGAAUCUACACCCCCGACAUUGCAGGAGGAUUCUUCACCACUGAGCCGCCUGGGACGCCCCCAAGGACUCUGCCUCUGGAGAAAGGGCAUCCAUUCGGGGUGCUUGUGUCUGCCCUCCCUUCGCAGCUGUGAGCGUCUUGCUUGGUUGGAGCAGCGUUUCCAGCCGGGGCGAGCACCCCUGGCCGUCUGCGUAGCGGCUCUGACCUCAGCCCGCCGGGCACAGCCACCCCCGCCUCGUCCGUGUAGAAGUCCUCCUGGUUCCUGCGUCUCAGCUCAGCGGUUGAAGGAAGCCCCAGCUCCACGAAGGCUUGGAGCUCUGCAAGCCGACCAGAAGUCGUGGCCUCCGCCGAGCUCCUAGUCCCCCGGAACUUUAUUGUGUAAUCCUUGGAAAUACCAAGCGUCUUGGCGCACACCGGGGGUUGUGGUGCCCCGUCGGGGUUCCCCAACACAGGGCUUGGUCACCACCGGUACAAGUUCCGAUUCAAAUUCGCAGUCGUCGAUUUGGGAAAUCAGCCCCAAGAGGGCUCCCCUCGUCCGUGAUUCUGUUGACCGCGAAGAGUUUGUGUGCCUGUGAAAAGCACCUCAGUGGCUGCAGAGGUCUGUCAAAAUCAUCCUCAUCUUCCUUUGUCUGAUCAUACAGAAUGCGAGUUCAUUUUCUAGGCCUUCCUUUCGGGUGAAGAAGGCCAGUAAGCAAGAGAAGAAAUAUUCUGAGCUUUUUUUUUUUUUCCUGGCUGUGUGCCUUGUGGAAUCUCGGUUCCCCGACCAGGGAUGGAACUCGGGCCAUGGCAGUGAGAGCCCAGAAUCCUAGCCACAAGGCCCCCAGGGACCCCUGGUAAGGCUCACUCUGAGUUAAGCUGGCCCGAGCUCCAGUUGCUC